This 63-nucleotide transfer RNA is filed under the name Gonatodes albogularis (yellow-headed gecko). RNAcentral's name for it is "tRNA-Pro". Lineage: Eukaryota; Metazoa; Chordata; Lepidosauria; Squamata; Sphaerodactylidae. The record is from RNAcentral.
CAGAAAAUAGUUUAUUAAAAUGCUAGCUUUGGGGGCUAGAGUUGGGAGCGAUCUCUUUUCUGA